Molecule: ribosomal RNA, 253 nt
Filed under: uncultured bacterium
Lineage: Bacteria
Description: partial 16S ribosomal RNA
Rfam family: Bacterial small subunit ribosomal RNA
Source: RNAcentral
UACGUAGGCAGCAAGCGUUGUUCGGAAUUACUGGGCGUAAAGAGUGUGUAGGCGGUGCUCCAAGUCUGUUGUGAAAUCUCCCGGCUUAACUGGGAGGGUGCAGCGGAAACUGGAAUGCUCGAGGGUGGGAGAGGUAAGCGGAAUUCCUGGUGUAGCGGUGAAAUGCGUAGAUAUCAGGAGGAACACCUAUAAUGUAAACAACUUACUGGACCACUUCUGACGCUGAGACACGAAAGCGUGGGUAGCAAACAGG